This is a long non-coding RNA of Talpa occidentalis (Iberian mole), 133 nucleotides long. RefSeq lists it as uncharacterized. Lineage: Eukaryota; Metazoa; Chordata; Mammalia; Eulipotyphla; Talpidae. The transcript has 3 exons. The record is from RefSeq and is a predicted model, not a curated record.
CCGAAGUUCACAGCCAUCUCUGGAGUGCUAUCACCGCUUUCUGGAGUCAUUUUGUGAACUGAUUUUAAGCCAAUUUGGCCAUUCAAGAGCUUUGAAAUGGAGACUAGCGAUGUCCCCCAAAUAUCAAUCUGUU